Molecule: transfer RNA, 85 nt
Filed under: Chloroflexota bacterium
Lineage: Bacteria; Bacillati; Chloroflexota
Also listed under: 2 other names
Description: tRNA-Leu
Rfam family: tRNA
About the family: Transfer RNA (tRNA) molecules are approximately 80 nucleotides in length. Their secondary structure includes four short double-helical elements and three loops (D, anti-codon, and T loops).
Source: RNAcentral
GCCCAGGUGGCGAAAUUUGGCAGACGCGCAUGUCUGAGGGGCAUGUGCCCGAAAGGGCUUGCGGGUUCAAGUCCCGCCCUGGGCA